Molecule: long non-coding RNA, 7452 nt
Filed under: Capsicum annuum
Lineage: Eukaryota; Viridiplantae; Streptophyta; Magnoliopsida; Solanales; Solanaceae
Description: long non-coding RNA (CANN_LNC010492)
Source: RNAcentral
UUAAAUCCCUACUUAAUUUGAGUUAUAUAUUAAAUAACCCAAAAAUAAUUCUUCCUCGUUUUAAAUUAGGCCAACAACAACCCACCAAAAAUUCCCAAUUACCAGCCCACCAACCCAAUAAAAUAACCCGACCCACACCCCUAUUCUCUUAACAGCAAAACAACACCAAUUUCAAUGGAGAACAGCUCCAUCAACGGGAAAAACCCGACUUCAAAAAACAGCUACAAACGACAACCCAACGGCAAAACCUGACUCGAUUCCAGUGAAUCAACCAGGGUUCAGCCAACCGUACCCGUCCGUUUCCAACUACAACCAACCAGCGACCCGACAGUCUGAACCAGCAAACCCGAACCCAGCUUCCCAAAAAUGACCUGAUAUCAACAAACCGCAAAAUCCAAAUCCAAAAAUCCUUUCAAAUUUUGAACGUUUGUACGAUUUUCGUACAACACAUAACUGUCAAGCCUUAUCACCAAAUAAAAUUCCAAAAAAUCAAAAUUUACCCCUGGAUUCCUCCUCUUCCUCAUCGGUUGAGGCCUAGAAAUUCAACCCUCGAAUUUUCCUAUAAAAGGGCUCACUAUUGAGCUAAAGAGGGAAGCCUUGAAGGUUGAUAAAACCUUUGAGCAAAGAAGUCUCAUUUUCUUAGUAUAAAAGUUUUUCUCCGUGAAAUUCAUCGAUUAACCGAAGUUUCCGAGUUGACGAUGACGCUUUUCGAUAGUCGAUGGAUUCCGACAAAUCUCAAGUCUCAUUUUUCCGUCCCAAAAAAGGUAAACAUAUUCUUCCCCUUCUAGUAUUAUUGCCACUUUCUUGUUCAUCUCGUUCUUCGUAUUAGUUGCUUCUUAGUUUAGAAAUACUAUUGCUGGGUUUGUUUACUGUAGCUGGCCUCAAAUACCAUAGGAUUGCGUAAAGAAGAUAGGGAUUUUAACAUGUUGAUGUGCUAUUAGUUUAGUUUUAUGUUUCAGUUUCGGCUUUCUAUAGAAUUCACUAUUUUGAUUCUCUGUUGGUAAUCCUUAACUUCUUGCUUCUUUAAAUUGGCAUAUAUUCUUGGAUUACCGUUUCCAGAUUAUCUUUCAUAUCAUCUGUAUUUACUCAUCAUUAUAUGUCGUCUGAAUUUCCUGUUCAAAUCUAAUGCUGCAGAUUUUAGAGUUUUGCUUCUGCAGUAAACAGUUAAAUGUAGUCCUCUAUGUUGAUAUUCGAAUGUUUUGGUUAAUGGUUUAGUUUCUUCUAUGAUUAUGAUUAAUAAUAGAUUCUCGCUUAUUUGAGCAUAAUUAUAAUUCCCUCACCUCUUGAAUUCAAAUCUCAUGACUAUGGCCCUAAAUUUUUAGUAGACAUGUUCAACCGGAUUGUCUAUUAAAGUUAUAUGAUGUUGUUCCGUUAAGAAAGAUUGUCUGAAAUGCAUAUAUGUCUUUUAAGAUUUCUUCUAAAACCUGCAUAUUGCUCUCCUUCUUUGGAAAUAUCCCCGUGUCGCAUGCUUAUCGGUUCAUGUCUUAAAAUUGUUGUUCUCGUAAAAAAUUAAUUGAACCAUCGAUCUUGCAUUUAGUAAGCAUCAUAGUCGACAGAGCACAUCUUUGAUUUUGUGAAAAUCUAGCCUGAAGGUCGAGAGUUUUGUUUCCUAGUAUAAUCAUAAAAAAUGGAUUUUUUUUGCUAGUCAUCUUGACUCGUAAAUGUUCAUUCUUUAUUUUAUUUUACGCAUGUAGAAUCGCUUAAAACUUAUGGUAGCAUCCUUAUCCAGGUGACUAAAUUUGAAAACCAUUAGUGGUUCUUUCAAACAAUAAAAUAAGAUCUGAUCUUUUGCAUUAGUUUGAUUUUGUUGGGAUUAUUGUAGUCUACAUCCUUAGUAAGGAGAGCCUUCAUUGGUUGAUCUUGGGAAUUAUCUGGUGAUGUGUGGGACUCAUGGAACUUAUGUUGUGUGUCGUUCAUAUAUCAUUUCUUAGAGCCUCUCUCAUGGAGUCAUUUUUCCCCUCCUAUUCUUGUCGGUUUUACUAUUUUUCUGUAUCUUGGUUUGAUUUUGUUAAAAUAAUGUCUACGAUGGGGGAGGUUAUUAUUUAUCUUGUCUACUAAGUAUGCGAUGUCUUUUGAGCACUUGAGUUCAAAAAUUUCGACUUCUACUUGAUUUCCUCGUUAAGAAUAUAUUAUUUGAAUUGUAUACAAUUUGGGGCCGAAACAAGUGGCUUUUUCCUUGAUAGAUUGUCUUGCUUUAUUUUAUUAAGAGGAUUUAGGUUGCAUGUGUAUGCCUAUAUCUUUAUUUCAGUUAAAAUUUGUUGAAUUUUCUCUCGAAAAUCCCAUGGCUUGGCCUAUUGAUAUUUUAUUUAAUGACAAUGUUAUCUCUUUCACAUUUUUGUUUUAACAUUCCUAGUGUUUCUGUCACAUUUUUAUGCCAAUGGUUUCAAUUAGGUUCUAAUCUUUGUCUACACUUGAACAUAUAUUAAUUAUUGUAUUUUUCUACCUGGACUCUUUUUCCUUCCGCAUUUUUGUCAUGGGUCAUUUAUUUCCCAUCUCUUCGAGGUGAUUCAUCAAAAGCCCAAAAGAAGUUCCAAAAUCGAUCUCAUGGCAUAUGGAUAUAAGGAGUCGAAAGAAGAAGGACAGGUUGAAAUCCAUUUUUAAAGUGGUGAAAAGACUCAAAAGUCUCAUUAAUUAUUUUAUUUAUUUACUUAUUGUUGUCUUUAUUUAUUUAUUUAUUUAUUCGUAUGCCUUGAAGCCAAAGUUGUAAAGAUAAUACAGGUAGAGCGGACUUUGGGCCAAAAAGGCUCGAAAACUAGAUUAGGAUAGGUGAAAUGGGUCGAAAGUCAAAUUAGACUAGGACAUGUUUCGUUGAUUUGGGCCCAAGGCCUAAAUCUUUUACUUUCUCCUCCCUUUCCCCUUUUAUGUGUUUAUUUGCUUAUUAGUUUUGUUUAACCAUAGUUAAAAUCCUUACUAAGUCGCUUAAAUUUGUUUUAUGCAAGUGUUUUCUAAAUCGAUCACUUUUCAACAAAUCAAUCUUUUUUUAAGUUAGUCAAAAGAUGUUUUCAAAUAGAUCGGAUAACCACAAGUUAGCGAACGUUUUAGGUUCUUUAAAAACCUUCCUAAAACGUUAAUAGGAACUGCUUACUCAGAAUCAUCGAAACUUAAACGAUUUUUCUAUUUUGGAUUGUUUAGAGUGUCUAAUAAAGGUUUUUAAAUUCUUUUUCAAAAUUAAGUGGCGACUCUCUAAAAGUCGAAAUUUUUGCAAAACAAAUGAUAAGUUGGAGACUUGGAGGGAGAUGCUUGAGUCUAAAGGAUUUCGGUUAAGUAGAACCAAGAUGGAGUACUUGGAGUGUAAGUUCAGUGAUAUGUCGUAGGAGGUUGGAGUGGUUGUGAAGCUGGACUUUUAGGCCAUUUAGAAGAGGGUGAGUUUCAAGUAUAUAGGGUCUAUGAUUCAAGACAAUGGUAUUGACGAUGAUGUCACGCAUCACAUUGGGGCAGGAUGGUUGAAAUGGAGGUUCGCUUCAGGAGUUCUAUGUGAUAAGAAGGUGCCACCUAAGCUUAAAGGUAAGUUCUAUAAAGUGGUAGUUCGGCCAACUAUGUUAUAUGGAGCGGAGUGUUGGCCAGUUAAGAGCUUCAAAAAGUUAAAGGUGGCGGAGAUGCAAAUAUUGCGAUGGAUAUAUGGACAUACCAGGAAAGAUAGGGUGAAGAAUGAGAUUAUUCGAGGGAAGGUGGGAGUUUUCUCGGUGGAGGACAAGAUAUAAAAAGUAAGGUUACGUUGGUUCGGGCAUGUGAUGAGGAGAGGCUUUGAUGCUUCAGUGUGGAGGUGCGAGACACUAGCUAUGGAUGGUUUUAAGUGGGGUAGAGGUAGACCGAAGAAAUAUUGGAGGGAGGUGAUUAGGCAUGGUAUGGAGCAGUUACAGCUUACGGAGGACAUGAUCCUUGAUAGGAAGGUGUGGAGGAAGCGGAUUAGGGCAGAGGGUUAUGGGGUGGGAAUGCGUUGGUAAUAGUAGGGGAGUGUUCUUUUGUGUCUAGAGUUUUUUGUUCGUGGUGUUAUGGCUGUAGUAUUAUCGUGUGGCUAUUUUGCAUACCAUACUAGUUUAUAUGCAUUUAUCUUUGGUGUUUGUUAUAUUGUUCGUUUAUUUUGCGUGCCGUGCUAGUUUAUAUGCACUUAUCUUUUGUGCUUGGUAUACUGUUAUCGGUCCUAAGCCCGAGGUCUAUCGAAAACAAUCUCUCUACUUCAACUGAUGUAUGGUAUGGUCUACGAACACUCUACCCUCCCCAGACCCCUCUAUGUGGGAAAACACAGGGUAUGUUGUUGUUUUAGAGUAUUUUUGGAUUUAGAAUGUAUUCUAUAUUUUAUUGUUAGUUUUCUUAUAAGUCUCGCUUCUAGUUUAGAGAUCUUGGUUAUUAUUUUAUCUAAUUUUUUUGAAUUUUGUUUUUUCUGAUUUAAAUUGAUGUUUACUGGAUAUAAUUCUUCUUACUUACUUCUAAUAUUUUGGAGUUUUCUCAUUAAGCUGAGUAAAUACUUUUAUCUUUCCUAAACUUUUCUUCUAACCGUACUCUUUUUAUGUAAUAAUGUAUUUUAGAUCCUACUUAUGCUAUUCUAGCGUCUAUUUGACGUAUGUUAUGAUGAAUUUCUUCAGUUUGAUCUCCUAUGGCUAGCGAAGCCUGAAGUAAACUAUAGUAUAACUAUUUUUGUUCUGUUAAACAAUCAUAUACCGCUCUCUUGAAGAAAAAUCAGGCGAAGAUAGCUCGAAUAGAAUAAAAUUCGAUAAUUCACUCAAAUGUGAUAAAGGAGAUAAUUGCACAUGCAAGGAUAGCAAAAAGGUAACAACUUAUGAAAAACUGCAAGACUUGUUAGACAUAGACGGAUUAGAAAAAGAAUACACUUUAAUAGAAAUAAAUACAGAACUUUUCCUCUAUUCCCACCUUCUUGUAAUCUAAUAGGUUCUUCUAUUGACAUUAUUUUUCCUCUAGUUUUUAUCCUUUCUAUGUGUUUUUCUGGGUUUAUCCUUUACACUCUAUGUCUUAGUAGAUUACCCAUACUUAUUUGUACUCUUUGCAUAUUAGUGGCUCUCCAUUAGUUGUUUUAUGCUCAUUAUUUCAUCUAAACUAUAGUUUUUGAAGUCCGUGGAAUGUAUAUAAAUACCCAUGGUAUAAGACCUAUGGAGACAGAGAAGAGAAGAGAAGAGAGAAAGAACCACUAAUAUGCAAAGAUUACAGAUAAGUACGGGUAAUCUACCAAGACAUAGAGUGUAUAGGAUAAACCUAGAAGAACACACAGAAAAUAUAAUACCUUGGGACUCCAAACAAAUUAUCUAUAAGUUAGAAAUAAUCAAUCCAGAGUACACCAUAAAAACAUCUAUAGAAUCUAGUGUUCUUGGGAGAAAACAUACUUUGAUCUUGAUAAUUUCACUGCUACAUGUAACUAGGGAUAUGGAAGAAGGGAGUAUUGAGUAGGAUUUUACAACAUAUUUUAAAAAUAAACAUAUUCUUGCUCUAUUUUAUGCUAACCUAACUGUUUAAACUAUUAUGAAGAAUUGUUUAGUUAGUUGGGUACACUUGUGGGUUCCAUCGUCACAUGACUAAAGUUUCUCCUUUUGUCAUUAUCAUCCAUUUGUCGUCCACUUUUAUCCCAAUUAUUCAUUUAUUUUUGUUAUUGUGGUCUGAGUAUAUUUUUAGCGAGAAGUACCCAGUCUCUAGUAAUGAAACAACCUCCGUUAUUUGUAACAUAAAAGUCUAGACCUAGUACAAAAUCUGCUCAAAUAUUUAAAUCUCUUAUUAGGAUUCCGUCAAGUUUAUAUGACGGUUUGUAAAAAUCACUGCAAGUAUUAACAAAACUUAUCUUUGCCUUAGGUAUAUAUUGUCUAUAAGUAUUAAACGUUUCAUCCAUUCCCCGAAGACUUUACAGGAUUAGUUAAUAUUGGAGCUAAGCCCUACAACUUUGCAAAUAAGGUACCUAGUUUAUUAACCAGUGAAGACCCCAAUAGUGGCCUAAUUCUCCAACAGAAAAGUGCUCUAGUAAAAUUAGAACAAUUAAGUAUAAAUAAUUGGUUCAAGAUAAAAGAAUUUCUAAACGAUUAUUUCUACUAUUGCAUAAUUAGUGGAAAUUCGUUUGAUCAAGAUUUAGGAAAAAAACUUUUUAACAAAUUACUAGGAGCUUUAGGGCGAGAAAUAGAAGAAAAAUGAUCCAAAAGAGACGGGGUGACACAGCACUCAGAGACAAAAUGGUCAAUAGGACAAAGAAUACAACAUAUAAUGGAAGUAUUACAAGAAAAAUGUAUAAAUAUACGAAUACAAAAACAGUUAAAACAAAGUGAUAUAUAUAUAUAUAUAUAUAUAUGAACAUACUUAAAAGAUCCUACUUUAGACAAAACUGUCUUUUCACUUUUUUUUAUUUAUUAUUUAAUUUUUUUAUUAUAUUAACUAGACUCCUAAAAUAUAUGAAACUAUUAAAAUAUAUGUUAGGAGAAUCAAUUAAUAUUUUUCUUUAGACUGAUCAAUUAGAAAAAUACUCCUAAAAAUAAGAUAGAAAAUUACUCCUAAAAUAGGAUUCUGUUAAGGAAAUACUUCUAUAAAUAUUGAGAUGCACAUUAGACUAGAGAAGAAAUAAAAAACAUAAUUAAUGCUCAUCUAACUUGAUUCGAUGUUUAGAUUGGUGGAUGUUUAAUUUUCUAACUCUCUACUUCUUCACUGUUUUUGUCAAUAUAAUUGAAUUCAUCUUGUGUGUAUAUAUAUCUUCUUUGUUUUCAUUCAAGUCAUUCUUUAAGGUCAAAAUUUUCGCUCAGACAAGAAUUAUUUUCAUCAAAACUGUAGUUUUGUGAUCACUAUUGUAUUAUUUUGUUGUGGUUUACAGGUCGUAGAUGAAUUUACAAGUUGUAGAUGAAUGUAGGUCGACUUUGAGGAAUUUUUUAAGUAAAAGUUAGGUUUAAUUAUAUUGUUUUUAUAUCUCUAUUUUGAGAAUUUUUUUUGUGUAAAGAUUAAGUUUAGUUUAUUUUGAUAUCUCUAUUAUCGUAUUAUUUUGUUAUAGUUUAAGGUUGUAGAUGAGUGUCGGAUAGCUUUGAGAAAUUUUUUUGUGUAAAGUAUAGAUUUAAUUAUAUUAUUUUAAUGUCUCUAUCAUUGUAUUAUCUUAUUGCAGUUAUAAGUGGUAGAUGAAUAUCGAUCGACUUUGACAAAAAAUUUUAAUAAAGGUUAAAUUUAAUUAAAUAAAUUCUUCAAAAGAUGUUGAAUUUAAUUUUUACAUUCAUCUUUAUUAUUUAAACAAAUAUCCUAUUUAGUGAAACGUUUGAACUCAAUAAAGUGAGGUACACGUGCGUACACCUAAACUUGUAAAUAAAUAAGAGUGAAUGAAGAACUUAGGGCCGUUUUUCAAAAAUAACGACUAAGCUCCUCAAAGAUGCAUUUAUUAUUAUUUGAGGACCUUUUUAGAAUUAUUUAUAUUUAUUUAUAAUAAUUAAUUUUAAAAUAUUUAAAAGACGUGAUGAAAAAAUUUAUUGCUUCUCAAAAUUCUUG